GUCUAUGACCAUGUCACUCUGAACAAGCCCGUCUGAUCUCAGAAGCUAAGCAGGGUCGGGCCUGGUUACUACUUGGAUGGAAGACCACCAAGGAAAGACCAGGUGCUGUAGGUG
Molecule: ribosomal RNA, 114 nt
Filed under: Pteropus alecto (black flying fox)
Lineage: Eukaryota; Metazoa; Chordata; Mammalia; Chiroptera; Pteropodidae
Source: RNAcentral